AUGGUUUGUGCUGUUUUUGUUCGUUUUUCCUGUUUUUUGUUUAAACUGCUGAACAUUCGGCAGAACACACCACAAGAUCUUUUACCGGAUUUAAAUUAUUCAGACGUUUUACUGAACGUUGUUAUCGGAGGAGCGGCGGCGCUGAUCAAGCGCUUCAGGACGCGCAGACGGGGGAAGCGAGCGGGAGCGCUCGUCAGACUCAGGAAGCGCGGAUUUCGAACGCCGUUGCCUAGCAUCCAUCUCGCAAAUCUCCGCUUUCUACCCAACAAAACAGACGAACUGUUUCUGCUCUCUCGGACAAAUAAGGAUCUCUCUCACUCUGCUGCUCUGUGUUUCACGGAAACCUGGCUGAAUGACGCCAUACCGGACAGCGCGCUCCAUCUGCCGGGCUUUCAGCUGUUCAGAGCGGAUCGCGAAUCAGAAUCAACUGGGAAAUCGCGUGGUGGCGGGACAUGCUUUUACAUCAAUGAAUGGUGGUGUACAGAUGUAACUGUGUUAAAGAAGAUGUGCUGUCCUGAUCUAGAAAUGCAGUUUGUCAACUGCAAGCCGUUCUAUUCGCUGCGGGAGUUUCAUUCGUUCAUUCUGGUCAGUGUUUACAUCCCUCCGCAAGCGCAUGUGAGCUCAGCUUUACAGAAACUUGCUGAUCAGAUCACAGACACAGAACAACAACACCCGGACUCUGUUUUAAUCAUUCUUGGGGACUUUAACAAAGCCAAUCUCUCCCGUGAACUGCCAAAAUACAAACAGCAUGUUACAUGUCCCACCAGAGACAGUAAUAUAUUGGAUCACUGUUACACCACAAUAAAGGAUGCAUAUCACUCUGUUCCACGAGCAGCUUUGGGACGUUCUGAUCACUGUCUGGUUCAUCUUAUACCGUCCUACAAGCAAAAACUUAAAUCUGCUAAACCUGUAGUAAGGACUGUGAAGAGAUGGACCAGCGAAACAGAGCAGGAUUUACAAUCUUGUUUUGACCUCACUGAUUGGAGUGUUUUUGAAGCUGCUACCACCGAUCUGGACGAACUCACAGAGACCGUGACAUCCUAUAUUAGUUUCUGUGAGGAUAUAUGCAUUCCUACCAGGACUUAUUUAACAUUCAACAAUGAUAAGCCAUGGUUUACAGUAAAACUCAGACAUCUUCGUCAGGCCAAAGAGGAUGCCUACAGAAAUGGGGACAGGGUCUUGUACAAUCAGGCCAGGAACACACUGAACAAAGAGAUCAGAGCGGCUAAAAAGACCUACGCUAAAAAGUUGGAAGACCAGUUUACUUCCAACGACUCAGCUUCAGUGUGGAGAGGUCUAAGAGCCAUCACUAACUACAAGACACCAUCCCCUUGCACUGAGGCUAAUCAACGACUUGCUAACGACCUGAAUGAGUUUUAUUGCAGAUUUGAAACCCCCAUCACCCAUUCUGACCAUCUCCCUACACAACCAUUAACACAUCCUGCAAUCCCACCCUCCACACCAGGUCUUCAAGAAGAACAAAAGAAGAAAAGCACCAGGCCCAGAUGGUGUUACACCAGCCUGUCUGAAAAUCUGUGCUGA
RNAcentral lists this long non-coding RNA (1542 nucleotides) under Carassius auratus (goldfish). Its description in RNAcentral is "lncRNA (ENSCARG00000063520.1)". Lineage: Eukaryota; Metazoa; Chordata; Actinopteri; Cypriniformes; Cyprinidae. The record is from RNAcentral.